This is a long non-coding RNA of Ruditapes philippinarum (Manila clam), 1359 nucleotides long. RefSeq lists it as uncharacterized. The transcript has 3 exons. NCBI's taxonomy places the organism in Eukaryota, Metazoa, Mollusca, Bivalvia, Venerida, Veneridae. The record is from RefSeq and is a predicted model, not a curated record.
CAGCAGUUACAGGAGCAGCAGUUGCAACAACAACAGUUACAACAACAGCAACAACAAAAUUAACGUCCGAGACCUGCUAUACCUGGAGAAAUGACAAAUGGAACAGGAAAUGUGAGACAGUCAACUGAAUUACCAGGAUACAGACCUGUUCAAAUUUAGCCUGGUUUUCCAGCAUAUCCAGUUUCUCCAAAUAUUUCACCAAUAUCACAGAAACCUGACAGUUACAGAAUGAUGUUUCAGUCAGUGGAAAGUCAGGAUACAAGUGUGAGUGCACCACUGAAUAGAGGUAUUACAGUAUCUUUACCCAAAGUUGAUAUGGACCAAUCUUAUGAUAGUCCCUCGCCCAACCCACCACAGACAGCAAUAUAAUAUAUACAAACAAUACAUAAGAGGGGAACAAUCAGUAAUGAUUAUAAAGAGUUCAAAUAUAAAGAUAUUUUAUGAUAUUGUUUAUGUUAAAUUAUGUUAAUGACAACUAAAAGAAAGAAAAGAUGUUGUGACACAUUUAAAGAAAACUGCCUUACAUGUAAAGUUGAUUACUUUAUUUUAUUACUGAUUUAUUUUGUUUUCAGUAGAUUACUGAACUAUAACACUGAGUUAUAUUAUGAUAAUUUCACUAUCAUCUUGAAAACCAUAGUUUCACUUUAGCAGAAGUAUAUUCAUGAUAUUUAAAUGCAGAUGAAAUCGAUAUCCAUAAAUAAAUGGAAAUUUUGGCAGAAAUACAGUACAGUGUAUGAAAAAUGUACAUAAUUACUUAAAGCAUAUAAACGUUCAAAUUCUGAAAUUUGAUGUAAGUGUAUAAUGUGUACGUUGUUACGCCAAAGUUGAGGAAAUGUAUAUGCUUUUGAUAAAUACACUGUUUAAAAAAUAUGCACCUUUACAAUAUUAGGGUAUCAGACAUGUAAUGGAGACACUUUUUAAACGCGGCAAAUAUUGGGUUUUCCUAUAUAGUGAGUGAGCAUUGUGCUUAUUUUCCAUUUAUUUACCAAGUUGUAACUGUAGGAUAUUUUGUACGGGAACAACCAUAUUUGCCUAGUUUAAAAAUGACCAAUUCCUCAAUUAAUACAUUCUAAGUGUAAUGAUAUUGUGAAAUAAUAAUAUUGUAAACUAUGUUUACAUCUAAAACGUUUUGCUGAGAGUUUUUGCUCAUAUUAUGUUUUCUGUAUUAAGACAUAAUGAAAGAGUUUGUGUAAAGUCUGUGAUAGUGUUCAAAUAUAAACUUGCAUGGCCACUUUGUUCCCAAUAUUGGGCAAUAUUUGGUGGAAUGUCAGUAUAGAAAAUAUGUAAAAUAAUAAUAUAGAAUUAUCAGAUUGUAUGUUGUUUAAUAGUAUAAAAUUGUAUAUUUAGCAUAACUUUGUA